This 446-nucleotide ribosomal RNA is filed under the name uncultured bacterium. RNAcentral's name for it is "partial 16S ribosomal RNA". It matches the Rfam family "Bacterial small subunit ribosomal RNA", at positions 338 to 795 of the family's 1533-position model. The record is from RNAcentral.
CCUACGGGGGGCAGCAGUCGAGAAUCAUUCACAAUGGGGGAAACCCUGAUGGUGCGACGCCGCGUGGGGGAAUGAAGGUCUUCGGAUUGUAAACCCCUGUCAUGUGGGAGCAAAUUAAAAAGAUAGUACCACAUGAGGAAGAGACGGCUAACUCUGUGCCAGCAGCCGCGGUAAUACAGAGGUCUCAAGCGUUGUUCGGAAUCACUGGGCGUAAAGCGUGCGUAGGCUGUUUCGUAAGUCGUGUGUGAAAGGCGCGGGCUCAACCCGCGGACGGCACAUGAUACUGCGAGACUAGAGUAAUGGAGGGGGAACCGGAAUUCUCGGUGUAGCAGUGAAAUGCGUAGAUAUCGAGAGGAACACUCGUGGCGAAGGCGGGUUCCUGGACAUUAACUGACGCUGAGGCACGAAGGCCAGGGGAGCGAAAGGGAUUAGAUACCCGGGUAGUC